This 88-nucleotide transfer RNA is filed under the name Thermoplasmata archaeon HGW-Thermoplasmata-1. RNAcentral describes it as "tRNA-Ile". It matches the Rfam family "tRNA". Rfam says of the family: Transfer RNA (tRNA) molecules are approximately 80 nucleotides in length. Their secondary structure includes four short double-helical elements and three loops (D, anti-codon, and T loops). Further hydrogen bonds mediate the characteristic L-shaped molecular structure. tRNAs have two regions of fundamental functional importance: the anti-codon, which is responsible for specific mRNA codon recognition, and the 3' end, to which the tRNAs corresponding amino acid is attached (by aminoacyl-tRNA synthetases). tRNAs cope with the degeneracy of the genetic code in two manners: having more than one tRNA (with a specific anti-codon) for a particular amino acid; and 'wobble' base-pairing, i.e. permitting non-standard base-pairing at the 3rd anti-codon position. The record is from RNAcentral. Lineage: Archaea; Methanobacteriati; Thermoplasmatota; Thermoplasmata.
GCGGGGGUAGCCUAGCCCAGAUAGGGCGAGAGACUGAUAACCUCUGCAAUCCUUGCGGUUGUCGUGGGUUCGAAUCCCAUCCCCCGCG